RNAcentral lists this ribosomal RNA (253 nucleotides) under uncultured bacterium. RNAcentral describes it as "partial 16S ribosomal RNA". It matches the Rfam family "Bacterial small subunit ribosomal RNA", at positions 524 to 776 of the family's 1533-position model. The record is from RNAcentral.
UACGUAGGGUGCGAGCGUUGUCCGGAAUUAUUGGGCGUAAAGGGCUCGUAGGCGGUUUGUCGCGUCGGGAGUGAAAACCAGGUGCUUAACACCUGGCUUGCUUUCGAUACGGGCAGACUAGAGGUAUUCAGGGGAGAACGGAAUUCCUGGUGUAGCGGUGAAAUGCGCAGAUAUCAGGAGGAACACCGGUGGCGAAGGCGGUUCUCUGGGCAUUACCUGACGCUGAGACGCGAAGGCGUGGGGAGCGAACGGG